RNAcentral lists this ribosomal RNA (253 nucleotides) under uncultured bacterium. RNAcentral describes it as "partial 16S ribosomal RNA". It matches the Rfam family "Bacterial small subunit ribosomal RNA", at positions 524 to 776 of the family's 1533-position model. The record is from RNAcentral.
UACAGAGGGUGCGAGCGUUAAUCGGAAUUACUGGGCGUAAAGCGCAUGUAGGUGGUUAAGAAAGUUUGAUGUGAAAGCCCUGGGCUUAACCUGGGAAUGGCGUUGAAAACUAAUUAACUAGAGUCGGACAGAGGGCAGUGGAAUUUCCGGUGUAGCGGUGAAAUGCGUAGAGAUCGGAAAGAACACCAGUGGCGAAGGCGGCUGCCUGGGUCCAGACUGACACUGAGGUGCGAAAGCGUGGGGAGCAAACAGG